Molecule: ribosomal RNA, 812 nt
Filed under: uncultured bacterium
Lineage: Bacteria
Description: bacterial SSU rRNA
Rfam family: Bacterial small subunit ribosomal RNA
Source: RNAcentral
CUAACACAUGCAAGUCGAGCGGUAGAGAGAAGCUGCUCUCUGAGAGCGGCGGACGGGUGAGUAAAGCCUAGGAAUCUGCCUGGUAGCGGGGGAUAACGUUCGGAAACGGACGCUAAUACCGCAUACGUCCUACGGGAGAAAGCAGGGGACCUUUCGGGCCUUGCGCUAUCAGAUGAGCCUAGGUCGGAUUAGCUAGUUGGUGAGGUAAUGGCUCACCAAGGCGACGAUCCGUAACUGGUCUGAGAGGAUGAUCAGUCACACUGGAACUGAGACACGGUCCAGACUCCUACGGGAGGCAGCAGUGGGGAAUAUUGGACAAUGGGCGAAAGCCUGAUCCAGCCAUGCCGCGUGUGUGAAGAAGGUCUUCGGAUUGUAAAGCACUUUAAGUUGGGAGGAAGGGCAUUAACCUAAUACGUUAGUGUUUUGACGUUACCGACAGAAUAAGCACCGGCUAACUCUGUGCCAGCAGCCGCGGUAAUACAGAGGGUGCAAGCGUUAAUCGGAAUUACUGGGCGUAAAGCGCGCGUAGGUGGUUUGUUAAGUUGGAUGUGAAAUCCCCGGGCUCAACCUGGGAACUGCAUUCAAAACUGGCUGACUAGAGUAUGGUAGAGGGUGGUGGAAUUUCCUGUGUAGCGGUGAAAUGCGUAGAUAUAGGAAGGAACACCAGUGGCGAAGGCGACCACCUGGACUAAUACUGACACUGAGGUGCGAAAGCGUGGGGAGCAAACAGGAUUAGAUACCCUGGUAGUCCACGCCGUAAACGAUGUCAACUAGCCGUUGGGAGCCUUGAGCUCUUAGUGGCGCAGCUAACG